Long non-coding RNA from Mercenaria mercenaria, 3940 nucleotides. RefSeq lists it as uncharacterized. Lineage: Eukaryota; Metazoa; Mollusca; Bivalvia; Venerida; Veneridae. The record is from RefSeq and is a predicted model, not a curated record. The transcript is spliced from 7 exons.
UUAAACGUAAAUACUUUAGAGUAAAAAAAAUCUUUGUAAAGUGCCAGUGUUCAUGAAAAAAGUUGUGGAAAUGGAUAAGAAAUAAUAAUAAUAAUAAUAAACCACUUUGCUACACUUUGUCUAUUUAAUUAUAGAACACAAGGUCAUUCAUUUUGAUGAAAAGGUGUAUGGAAAAUAUUGGAAUGGCUCAUAUCUUCAGGGGAAGAAACUGACAGAAAUCGAACACAGAGAUGGAGUGACAGUGCUAAUCGAGCAGAUGAUCUACCUACAAAUCCAAGCGUCAGAAAUGAUUCCGAUUAUGGAUUUUCUGUACAAGAAACAGAUCCGAAAAAUCCAAAGCGUUGUCGAGAAAUUGCAGGCUUUCCAGAAUCGAAAUCUACGAAUAGAAAGAGGAUAAGAUAUAUGCUAGGAAGAACUAGAAAGUUAUCUGAGGGAGCAGAAGGCAGAGAAGGAUAAAUGUGAAAGAGGAAGAGCACCAGGUUGUCUUAGCCACUAAAUUGAUUACUUAGAAGAGUGUUGAAAAUAAAAGUGUUAUGAAAAUUGGAUUUUGGCAAAGACACAGUUUCAAUUUACUGGAUAUAGGACUCUGUUUUAAUGAAACAGGUGAACGUGAAUUGAUUUACAUUAGAGUGAACUUAGAUUAACUGUUUAAUAUUGUUUAACAAAAUGCAUAAUUUCUCCGAGCUGUAAAACUGGUUGCUAUCAAAACACUUGUUAAUAAACCCUUAUUCAAUGCUAUGUUAGGUUCAUUCUUUUUUAUAUAUGUCUUUAUAUGAAAAGUUUUAGGAUGUGACAUUUAGUCGUUUUAAAGUGCUUAAAAUGCCUUUGUCUAUAUUUUUCAAGAACUUUCUGCUAGCUAUCGCAUAUUAGAAUCUAUAAAAGGAUCUUUUCGAAGCAUAGAAUGCAACCAAGCAAACUGCUGUUUGAUUGAGUCAGUUUAUGAGAGGUUAUGGAAAGUACAACACACAUGACACCCCUAGCACAGACUUAAGCGAGACUCUUUUGACUUAAAUCGAACUUAUUUAAAGUUGCUGUGCAGGAUGGACAUCUUACUGUAAUUAUCUUGUAUGACAUGUUUGGCUUAUGAAGUAUUUUGUUUGUUUUAAAUGGUAUGAUUCUUUUGCUGUCUUCAGCAAUGGGGGUUAAGUUGUAAAUGUUGUUAAUAAUGCUCACCCUGGUAUGGUAAUAGGAUCAUGAGGCGUCAUCCAUCCGUUUGUCUCUCGAGAUAACUGUGCGAUAGAAUUCAAUCAAUUGUGGCUUAAAGCAUUCUAUAGUCUCGAGAGGAUAGGAUCCAGAUUGGACAAAACAUUGUCUUUUCAUCUCAUUUUCCAGGCGGCUGGGUCCCAACGUUGCACAUAACAUCAUUUUAAGACUCCGUAACAUGCGGGUGAAUUUAAUUUGAAUCUGACGUCAACCUUGAGUAUUAGGACUUCUAAAUUGUACAUAUUUAGAUCACUGCUCCCCUAUUGAUGGUACUCAACAUAAUUUUGUUGCAAGAAACCUUAAAUUGUAGGAAUUUCAGUUUUACAAUUUGUGGUACUAGCCCAUGUAGGGUUCAUAGGACAGGGUCCCUUAACAGUAUUCAAAAGAUUUUUUAGACAAGAAUAUGAUGCUUAAUUCAUGUUUUUCACGAAAACAUAUAUAACAAAGUUACUUCCUAUAUUUGCUAUUCGUAAUGAAAGGUAGUCAUUUUGCAGAAAGUUUGCUAGUAUACUAAAUUGAAUCACUGUUUAUUGUCUCCAUCUCAUGCAUAGAUAACAAACAAUUGAUAAAGUGUGUCUAACUAUAGAUGUAUAAUAAAAAAAUCUUAUUUUAUCAACAUGUCCAUUGAUAUUUACAAACGUAUUUUAGCAGUAUUCAAAUGAAGUAUAUCUCAAGUUGAAGUAACUUAAUACAAUCUAUUACAGGUUUGUCUCCUCGUGAUAGGUAAUGAAACAUGCAACAUAAAAAAUCCAUGUCAGCGGCUUAAGUGGCAAUUUUAUUAUACACAUACACUGAAUAUAUUCAAUCAUGAAAAUAUUACAACUUAGGCUACAAAUAAAAUCUUAAAUGAAUGAAUAAAUAAUGCAAUAAUUUUCAACACUUUGUUGUAAUGUUUUCAUAGCUACCCUCGCCCGGAGGCUAAUGAUAGUUUCUGGUCGGAAUGCUUUUAAAGGUUUAACUUUUGAAUAACAAUAUCAGAUAUUUAAUACUACAAAUUAAUUCUUUAGUGGCGGAGUAAAUGUAUAGCUAUUAAGUUUAAAUAGCCAUCUAUUUUGUGGGCGAAUUUGGUUGUGAUGAAUGUACAUUUUGUUUGACACUGAAGUUGUUGAUUGCAGAUUGAAAAUGUUAAUAUAUAUGACGUAUUCUAUGUCUUUUUUAUUUUUGUGUACAUGUAUUUAAUUGUACGUUUUCAAUAUCUUGCAUUCAAUUUAGUUGGUGGUGGUUUUGCAAAUUAAAUGUUAUUGACAACAUGUUUUAGUAUGUCUUUUGUAAUACAAGCUUCUCACUCAUAACGGACAUUUUAUAAAAACAUAAAUUAACAUAUGUCUUAAAUUAUCUUGUCAUUUAGAGCCAAAUAUACGAGUUAUUGCCCACUUCUGUUUGACGAUAAAUUCAAGCAGUGAAUCUAGUGGCAAAUAACUUAAUUUGAUUUAGACAGAGUUGUGUGUCUGGAAUUUCAUACAAUAUAAACACAGUUUGAGGAGAAGGAAAUACAUAUCGAAUUUGUAUACAUUAUACAUCGAUAUUAUUUUCAUAUUUGACCUAAACAAGUUUUUCUACAAACAUAUAAAAGCUUUGCAGGUGCAAGAAUAUUACUGCAAUAGACUUAUCAAACACUUCUUUUGCCUCUGGAUUGUUCAAAUUAUAUUGAGGUAAUAACUUUUUGAAACACUUAGAAUGAUAAAGACAUAGAAGGAAAUUAUAACCAUAGCAUUCAUUCUCUUUUUUUUUUAACUAGGAGAACUCUGUGAAAAAAAUACGCCAGAAACUGUUCACAAAUAUAUUUGGUCCAAACACAAAAUGUUGUCAGGGUUGAAAAUGUCACUGUUAACUAAAUAGAAAAAGUGGAAUGCCACAGGUCGCGACAUAAAUGAAAAUGUUGCAUGCUCGGUUUUCCGUAAUCUAAGAUCCCUUUUCUAAAUUGUUCUGCCCAUUGUUUUUUCUUUUAGGGCAAGCCCAUUAUUUUAACUUGGUUUUCAUUGGAUUGCACACUAGCGUAUCAUUGAAUGUUCCAUGUGCACUGCCGUAUGAACACAUCUGCGGAUGUCUCUAAAUUGUUUUUGUUACUUUUAACAUGUGUAAAUGUUGAGUUCUGUUCAACCCGGGGCUAGAGGGCGUAGACGGUAGCAUGAAUUUCUACUAUCGUCCAUGCACAGGCUCAAUGGAAACAGAGCCUGCAACAUUUUCAUUUUGUCGUGUUGAGCGACCUGUAAAAUUUCCACUAUUUCUAUUGAACUCUUUCUACAUAAUUGUAAUCGACUGAAAAUGCUUCAGCACUGAUCAAGAAUUGAACCCGCGACCUCUCGCACAUAAGGCGGGCACUUUAUCGGGUUGUUAUAAAAGUCAGCUGAUAUAGCAAUGUUGUGUAAGUGUACCACUUGUUGUAAUAAUUUUCCUAUCAGAAAUAAAGGUGCUUCUAAACGUUUAACCUUUAAAUAAAAAUAUCAGAUAUUUGAUAUUACGAAAUAAUGCUUUAGUCGCGGAGAAAAAAUAUAGCUAUUAAUUUUAAAUAACCAUUUAUUUUGUGAGCGACCUUCUUUGUGAUGAAUGUAUAUUUUGUUUGACAUGGAAUGUACUUUACUUUUAAAUGGUGGUUGCAGAUUGAAAGUGUUAAUGUAUAUGACGCAUUUUAUCUCUUUUUAAUUUUUGUGUAUAUGUAUUUAAUUGUAUGUUUUCAAUAUCUUGCAUUAGAUGGUGAUGGUUUUAUAUUAGUAUUAUAAAUGUUAUUGACAGCAUA